This 4024-nucleotide long non-coding RNA is filed under the name Haliotis rufescens (red abalone). RNAcentral describes it as "uncharacterized LOC125383231". Lineage: Eukaryota; Metazoa; Mollusca; Gastropoda; Lepetellida; Haliotidae. The record is from RNAcentral.
GGCCUUAAACAUAGUAAUGCAGGAUAAGUAUACAAAUGUAAAAAAUAUUUAGAUUUUACUAAAUUGUUUACUUAUCCUGCAUUACUCCUUAAUGCAUCUGUAUCGGACAAUUUGGAGGUGGGAAAUCCUCACAAUACAGAAACCUCAAUAAUUCACACCCUGAAAAUACGACACAGAUUGGUCAGUAAACCGUUAAGCGGAAAAGUUGAGAGAAAACGCUAAUACAGUAGGUUUUUACAAUGUGGCAAACAAUUGCACAUGGGGGUAAAGAGCAGUUCCCUAUACAUUUUUAGUAAUAAAGACAACGAGCUCAUCAGCCAAAUCUUUACUUACUAUAUAAUUAAAGCCCUGAUGACAAUAACUUGUCUUCCACUGGCGAAAUCUGAUCGAUUACACCAAACAGGAAAGGCUCUGUAUAGGGUGAGUACAUUAUUUGCGUCGAGGGUUGGUAACUUGCUGAGCUACAACCAACGGCCCAAAACUCCGUACACCUUCAAUGUCCUCGAGAGUCACUUCGCGAAGAUAAUGACUAGCGAAAACUGUGUCAGACCUCCAAAAACAUCCUUCCAUGAUUGUCUUAAUAGUACAAUUGCUGUGUAAGGCCAUGGUAGAGGCCAAUGCCCUGAUCUCAUGAGGAUUAUUCGUUCUUGGCGGAUCCAAAUUGGCGAUCGAAUAGGCCUGAAGGAUGACUGCGCGUAACCAUAAAGAUAUGGUGUUGACCUCGGUUGUGGACGUAGUAGAUACAGGUAUAAAUAACCGCUUCCUCGAACCACGCCUAGUCUUGGAACGGCGGAUGAAAAUUUGCAGUGCCCGUACCGGACAUAAUAGAAGUUCACCCUCAUCCUCACUGCCCACAAUCGUCGAGAUUGAUGGAAUGGUGAAGGAACGAUCAGGUUGGCCUGGUAAUUGAUUUUUGGCAAUAAAAUCCCAGCACAACCCGAGAUGUACCGCUCCGUGCGUCCCAUGCUCAAAAUGAACCCGGGUGAUGUCGAUUGCAUGUAAUUCGCUCACCCGUGCCGCUGUGGCUAAUGCCAAGAGAAACAUUGUUUUCUUGGUGAGGUCAUGAAAGGAGGAUGCAUUGAGGGGCUCAAAUGGGGGUCCUCGCAAACCUCGAAGUACCACGUUCAGAUCCCACGCAGGUGGGCGGAACUUGGUCUUCUGAUCCUCAAGCCUGAAUGAGCAUAAUAAGGCCUGUAGUUCCGGGAUCUUAGUAAUCUUACGAUUAUCCGGAACGGCCAACACUGAGUUAAGUGCAACCAAGUACGUGGUAAUAGUGCUACCUUUCAAGUGUCUAUGGGUACGCAAAUGUAGGAGGUAUUCAGCUAAAAACUGAGGUGAUGCAGUAAAAGGGCCUUGACCUUUUGCCUUGCAAAAUGUUUCCAACGAUCCCCACUUGUCAUCGUAAAGGCCUCUAGUAGAGGCAUGAUGAGCUAACGUUAUAGCUUUUGCUGUUGAGCCGAAUAGCCCUUUGCACUUAAUGCCUUCUUAAGACGAACCAACCGUGCAGACGAAAUCUGUCUGGUGUUGGAUGAGGCAAUUUGCUGUGAGGGUGGAUAAGUAGGUUAAACCACUGUGGGAGGGGUAGUGGAUCGUUUUCUGCUAGCUUUAUGAGCUUGACGAACCACCCUCUCGCUGGCCACCAGGGCGCGACCAAAGUCAGAGCAAGUAUUCUUGUCUCUUUGAUCUUUUGUAUUACCCUGGGAAGUAGAACUGGUGGCGAAAAUGCAUACGCUUUUAGUCCUUCCCAAGGAAUGCUGAAUGCGUCCACCGCCCAAGCCUUCGGAUCUGGUAACGGGGAGACAUACAUCAAGAGUUGGUGAUUUUGGCAAGUUGCAAACAGGUCGAUGUUUGGUUGCCCGAACUUCCGAAGCAAUAAUUGGAAUGCUUCUGUGUGAAGUUUCCACUCGGUGGGUGCUACCCUGUCUGGGCGUGAUAGAGCAUCGGCCAGAAUGUUUCGACAUCCGGGGAUGUGCUGAACUAUGAACUGUAGUUGCAGCCGAUCCACUAGAUGGAAAAACCUGAAUGUCUGUUGAAGUAGCGAGUGGGAGUGUGUUGUUCCCUGAUUGCGCAGGCACCACUCCACAGUGCUGUUGUCUGUGGAUAUGGAGAGUUGGGUUGAUUGUAGUUGAUUCUGCCAAUGGGAUAUGGCGAGAAUUAUGGCUUCCAACUCCAGAUUGUUUAUGUGCCAUUUCCGAUGAGCGCUUGACCAUAGCCCUGAGACUGUCUGGUGUUGUAGGUGAGCACCCCACCCCUGAAGGGAGGCGUCUACGAAUAGGUGUAGAUUCAGAUAAAGAGAUUCCUCCUAAGACAUUCGACUCUAUCGUCCACCAAAGGAGGAAAGGUCUCAAAUGCGUUAGUAGCAUGAUGGCCUUGAGUGGAUCUUGACUCCUGAUGUAGGGAUUCAGGAAUUGUUGUAUUGGGCGUAACUGUAACGGCCUCUGUUGGUUAGGUCCUGGACUGAGGUGAGUAACCCUAGCAACACUUGCCAUUGCUGAAGUGUGCGUGGUUGACAAAGAGCAGGUGACAGGAGGCGUAAAUUCUUGUGCCAUCUGUCCCUCGUGACUGACAGGAGGUUCUGAUCUGUUUAAAAUAGUCCUCCUAUGAACUGGAGUCGAAAUGAUGGAGUUAACUCCGACUUUGCCUCGUUGAUUAUCCAACCCAGUUGAUAUAGUAGCCUUCUGGUGAAUUCCCGGUGGCAUACUAACGUCGUUGUGUUUUGAUGACACAGGAGACAGUCGUCUAUGUACGACUCAAACCAAAUGUUCCUCAGGUGUAGAAACGCAGUUAUGGGCUUCAUUAUUCGUGUAAAUAGCCACGGGGCCACUGAAAUGCCAAAUGGGAGUACUGCCCACUGGUAGUGGACCCCAUUGAACUGGAACCUGAGGAAUCUGCGAUCGUUGGGAUGGAUCGGUAUGUGCAGAUAUGCAUCCUGUAGAUCGAUACUGAUCAAGGAAUCGAACGCUUUUAUGCUGGUUCUGAGUAGUCUCAAUGUAAUGAAGUGGAAAUAGGGUGGACGCUUCAGAAAACGCUCAUUGAAAACAGAGAGAUUGUGUAUCAUUCUCAUCUUGUCUGAGCCCUUCUUGGGUACCAGGAAGAUGUGAGAAUAAAACCCCGGAGUUAGCGCUGGGGUGUGUAUAAUCUCUACUGCUCUUUUUUCCAAUAGUAAGUCUAUGUUGGCCUUUAACCCUUUCGCCCCGACUGCCCGAUUUAUCGGGCAGCAUAAAGCGUGUCCCAUUACCCGGCUGCCCGAAAAAUCGGGCGGCUAUUGUCCAAGCCCCACACACGGCUGCCCGAUAAAUCGGGCGGCGCGACCGUGUUUACAAAAUCGCUCUUUCAACUUCCUUUCUCGUGUGUAAUCUCGUUCUAAAUAUGGAAACGAGAUCUACACGUGAUUGACACGUCAUUCGAUGGAAUUUCCCAGUCUUUUUGGCGCGAAAAUCGCGAAUGUCACCUGUUUUCGCGACAGGUAUUUUUUCUCGCUUGAAUCGUAAAUCUAGCGUCAUGGCGGCCAACUACGAUUCGGAUAGCGAUCAGAUGACUAACAACGACUCUAUCGGGAAUAAUAAUGUGUUUGAUUUGAAUAAUUUACGUGAAGGGGAGAGGGAAUUUCGUGAAGAUUUUGGUGAAGAUUUUGACGGUUUCGACGAGGUGUCCCCCCCCCCCCCCGCCAACUUUCAAGAAUGGGAGUGGCAGAGGGACCACAACGGUGGAGACAUGAGGGAUUUUGAAGAGGCGACCGGACUCAAGAAUAUAUAUUGACACGGUGAGUGAUAUAUAGUGCUAUUGAUUUUUUCCAACUGUUUUACAAUGAUUCUGUGUUUGAACAGAUUAUCAGUGCGACGAAUGAGAAUGCAGCCUACAGGUGAACGAGCGAUCACAACAACAACAAAGAUCAAUCUGUGAUAUCUUCACUGUGAUGUCAUUCUUAUAGGAGCUGUGGUUCAAUGUUCAGAUGUGCAUGAAGAGAAUUUACCUGUAACACCUGGGAUUACCUGUGCCGUCCAAGAUGACAAGACCACUGUGU